UCGAACGGAAAGGCCCUGCUUUUGUGGGGUGCCCGAGUGGCGAACGGGUGAGUAACACGUGAGUAACCUGCCCUUGACUUUGGGAUAACUUCAGGAAACUGGGGCUAAUACCGGAUAGGAGCUCCUGCUGCAUGGUGGGGGUUGGAAAGUUUCGGCGGUUGGGGAUGGACUCGCGGCUUAUCAGCUUGUUGGUGGGGUAGUGGCUUACCAAGGCUUUGACGGGUAGCCGGCCUGAGAGGGUGACCGGCCACAUUGGGACUGAGAUACGGCCCAGACUCCUACGGGAGGCAGCAGUGGGGAAUAUUGCACAAUGGGCGGAAGCCUGAUGCAGCANCGCCGCGUGCGGGAUGACGGCCUUCGGGUUGUAAACCGCUUUCGCCUGUGACGAAGCGUGAGUGACGGUAAUGGGUAAAGAAGCACCGGCUAACUACGUGCCAGCAGCCGCGGUGAUACGUA
Molecule: ribosomal RNA, 456 nt
Filed under: uncultured Propionibacterium sp.
Lineage: Bacteria; Bacillati; Actinomycetota; Actinomycetes; Propionibacteriales; Propionibacteriaceae
Description: bacterial SSU rRNA
Rfam family: Bacterial small subunit ribosomal RNA
Source: RNAcentral